GAUGAACGCUGGCGGCGUGCCUAAUACAUGCAAGUCGAGCGAACAGAUGAGGAGCUUGCUCCUCUGACGUUAGCGGCGGACGGGUGAGUAACACGUGGAUAACCUACCUAUAAGACUGGGAUAACUUCGGGAAACCGGAGCUAAUACCGGAUAAUAUAUUGAACCGCAUGGUUCAAUAGUGAAAGACGGUUUUGCUGUCACUUAUAGAUGGAUCCGCGCCGCAUUAGCUAGUUGGUCAGGUAACGGCUUACCAAGGCAACGAUGCGUAGCCGACCUGAGAGAGGGAUCGGCCACACUGGAACUGAGACACGGUCCAGACUCCUACGGGAGGCAGCAGUAGGGAAUCUUCCGCGAUGGGCGAAAGCCUGACGGAGCAACGCCGCAUGAGUGAUGAAGGUUUUCGGAUCGUAAAACUCUGUUAUUAGGGAAGAACAAAUGUGUAAGUAACUAUGCACGUAUUGACGGUACCUAAUCAGAAAGCCACGGCUAACUACGUG
This 497-nucleotide ribosomal RNA is filed under the name uncultured bacterium. Its description in RNAcentral is "partial 16S ribosomal RNA". It matches the Rfam family "Bacterial small subunit ribosomal RNA", at positions 28 to 507 of the family's 1533-position model. The record is from RNAcentral.